GGGCUCGUAGCUCAGCUUGGAAGCCAAAACUUCCAUAGUUUGGCUAGGCAAUUAGAGCGCCGGUCUUAUAAGCCGGAGGUCAGGAGAAAUCCCUUUUCUUAAGAAGAAAAGGGCUUACUGAAUUCAAAUCUCCCCGGGCCCA
RNAcentral lists this transfer RNA (142 nucleotides) under Candidatus Aenigmatarchaeota archaeon. RNAcentral describes it as "tRNA-Ile". The record is from RNAcentral. Lineage: Archaea; Nanobdellati; Candidatus Aenigmatarchaeota.